RNAcentral lists this ribosomal RNA (440 nucleotides) under uncultured bacterium. Its description in RNAcentral is "partial 16S ribosomal RNA". It matches the Rfam family "Bacterial small subunit ribosomal RNA", at positions 338 to 795 of the family's 1533-position model. The record is from RNAcentral.
CCUACGGGAGGCAGCAGUAGGGAAUAUUGCUCAAUGGGGGAAACCCUGAAGCAGCAACGCCGCGUGGAGGAUGAAGGUUUUCGGAUUGUAAACUCCUUUUGUUAGAGAAGAUGAUGACGGUAUCUAACGAAUAAGCACCGGCUAACUCCGUGCCAGCAGCCGCGGUAAUACGGAGUGUGCAAGCGUUACUCGGAAUCACUGGGCGGAAAGAGCGCGGAGGCGGGAUAGCAAGUCAGAUGUGAAAUCCUAUGGCUUAACCAUAGAACUGCAUUUGAAACUGUUAUUCUAGAGUAUGGGAGAGGUAGGUGGAAUUCUUGGUGUAGGGGUAAAAUCCGUAGAGAUCAAGAGGAAUACUCGUUGCGAAGGCGACCUGCUAGAACAUAACUGACGCUGAUGCGCGAAAGCGUGGGGAGCAAACAGGAUUAGAUACCCUUGUAGUC